RNAcentral lists this ribosomal RNA (409 nucleotides) under uncultured bacterium. RNAcentral describes it as "bacterial SSU rRNA". It matches the Rfam family "Bacterial small subunit ribosomal RNA", at positions 511 to 917 of the family's 1533-position model. The record is from RNAcentral.
GCGGCCGCGGUAAUACGUAGGGCGCAAGCGUUAUCCGGAAUUAUUGGGCGUAAAGAGCUCGUAGGCGGUUUGUCGCGUCUGCCGUGAAAGUCCGGGGCUCAACCCCGGAUCUGCGGUGGGUACGGGCAGACUAGAGUGAUGUAGGGGAGACUGGAAUUCCUGGUGUAGCGGUGAAAUGCGCAGAUAUCAGGAGGAACACCGAUGGCGAAGGCAGGUCUCUGGGCAUUAACUGACGCUGAGGAGCGAAAGCAUGGGGAGCGAACAGGAUUAGAUACCCUGGUAGUCCAUGCCGUAAACGUUGGGCACUAGGUGUGGGGGACAUUCCACGUUUUCCGCGCCGUAGCUAACGCAUUAAGUGCCCCGCCUGGGGAGUACGGCCGCAAGGCUAAAACUCAAAUGAAUUGACGGA